CAGUAACAUCUACUCUAUAAUACUGGGAGGCAAUUAACUGAGAACAUUCAUACAUCAGUGGUGACUGGCAUGGUAAGUGCUCAAUAAAUUGUUUCUUCUUGUCUACUGUCAUUGGUCUCAUUCAAAUCACUGUCAUUUCAUAUUCAUGUAUUGUAAUGACCUCUAAAUGUUUUCAGCUAGAGCAGAAGAUAUUUAGAUAGACCAUCAUAUAAGAGAACCUUAGGAGAGAAGAGCAAGUUGCCUCAAAGGAACAUGUGUAAGCUUAGGUAUUCUCUGUAAACUCCCCCUAUGAUACUAUCAAAGCAACUUUUACUGAUAAGACAAACCAUUGCCAACUUCUUCCUUAUUCAAAUGUUUGUAAUCCUUAACUCUUACGUAAUUCCUAUAUUUUCACAUAAAUCCUACAUUUUGUAAUUAUAUUAUAAGCUGAGCCCAGGGUUUCUGCCAGGGCUGCAGGGUUCAGGUUCUAUUCCAUUCUGAAUGUCACCCUCUAUGUACCUAAAAAAGGUUUUGGUAGAUCUAACCUGAAAUCUGGAGUUUUGGAAUAAGCCACAUUCAUGGAUCACCGUAACAUCUGUAAGUUCCAAAGUAAUUCCUUAUGCCCAUAUCACUGUCUUUUAUUUUUGGUGCACUUUUUUUUUUUUCACAAAUGGAUAAUUUGUGACUCAGACCUUCCUUUUGCUAUCAGAAUUGAAAUCUGUCCAGUCUUAUAAAAAUAGCUAUUUCUAAAAUUACAGUUUCAAAAAUUCUGAAUUACUAGUGUUAAAAUGCCAUUCUUAGAAUUAUCACUUUGUUAGAGGUGACCAAAAUCCAUACUGAAUGAAAUCAGCUCAUCAUGAGCUUACAUCAGACUGUCCCAAAAUGAUCUUCUAAGUGACUGACACUUCUCAAUUAUCUCAAUACAAUAAAAAAUAAAUAAAUGUCAUGAAUAUUCUUAAAAGCACAAUGACUACAGUAGAUAAAAUUUCGUAUUGUUUUAAAGAUUAGAACCAAUGAUUUAAGCAAAUGUCAUUUCUCAUAAUGUUUAGUGUAUGGUAUUAUAAGGUUUUUUUUUUUUUUUUUUUUUUUUUUUUUCCUGGGAACCUCCGUAUACCAUGGGUGCAGCCCUAAAAAGACAAAAAAAAAAAAAAAANAAAAAAAAAAAAAAAAAAAUUACAGUGUCAUAUAUUCUCUACAUUGCCCCUGAAGAAGCAUAGAGGCAAGCAACUCUGAUGUGUAAAUUUUGCCUAUUCAGUUGGAAUUAGCCAGUUGUUGGCUGAAAUUAACAAUUUACUAAUUUCAUUAGUAGCUUAACUAGUUGAGCAUGUCAAUAGACUAUGUCUUUAAAAGAGUCCUUGUUUUUCUUACAUAUCUUGCAAAUACUUAUGCAAUGUAGACCUGUUCAAAAGACUCAUUCCUACAAGGAAAAGAAGAAAGCCAAGAUUUGAGUUCCCUAACUGAAUGAAAAUGUGUUCAUUCCUCCCACUUCAGGAAGGUGUCAAAAAAGACUGUCAGUUUCAUAAUUAUGCCUCUUGAGCAGAUGGGCGGUAAGACAUUCUGUGACAUUUGAGAAGAAAAUAAUUUUAAAACCCUAAAAAUAAUAAUAAAGGAACUUCUAAAUAAAGAGCAUGCUCCAACAUACAAGUAAAAUAUCUUAAAGUAGGAAAGGAAUUUUUAAAACAACUAGAGACCCAUUUGUUAGCUAGACCUUUCUAUGUUUAUAGUACACACACCAUCAGGUUUUACAGCAGGUCAUUUCAAAAGACAACUCUGCAGAAUAUUCUGGAAUAGCUAUAUAAGUUUGGAGUUGAUGAAUUUAUGUAGUAUGAAUCCACAGUUGGGUCCCAUUUUGAAUCAACCACAAGACAUAGCUGAUGGCAGUAAACAAGGUUAAAAUUAUAAUAUGAAGCAGGGGCUGGUGAAGGGCUGGUUAAUUCUCAGCUUUUCUUCCAGUCACUCAAAAAAGAGCAAGUAAAACAUAACCCAGGAAGGGAAAUUACAGCUCAAAUUCCUAUCAGAAACUGAAGUCUACCUGGAUCUCUGAACUGCCAGUCUAUUGAUAGAUGAUAAAGAUGUCCAAUCCCUAAAUCAUCUCACCCUUUCAGAAAAUGGUAUUUUUCUUUACAGCGUUUCUUGGGUCCACCGGCUAGAUAAACACCUCAGCAUUCGGUGUGAACAGUCUAUCUGGAGAAGCAUGAAAAAUAAUAUUGACAAGUCAUUUGUUGCUUCUGCCUUUUGUGUCAGAAAACCAAGGAAGAGCAAAAAAGAACACAACAACAAAAAAUAAAACAAAAAAGCCAAAAAUAUUUCAAAGCCCACAUUCAAAUUUUGAUUGAUUUAGCAACACAGCUACCUGAGUCCUGCAAGUACCAGGACUGUUUUAAUAAACGGAUGGCCCUCAACUUUUCAAUAUAAUAAAUUUUAAAAUUAUACAAGAAAUGUAUGAUUAUUAUAGAAUAGAGAAUAAAGAUAAACAAAAAAGAAAAAAAA
Molecule: long non-coding RNA, 2469 nt
Filed under: Sus scrofa (pig)
Lineage: Eukaryota; Metazoa; Chordata; Mammalia; Artiodactyla; Suidae
Description: lncRNA (ENSSSCG00030001263.1)
Source: RNAcentral